AUUAUUUCACGUGACUUUGCUAUGGUUUUAUUCCAUAACACUGGUAAGGAGAGGCAUUUCUUGUGGUUUCAUGGUUUCUUUUCUUUAUAUCUUUCUUCCUUCCUCUCUCUCUCUUUCUCUCUCUCUUUCUUUUUCUUUUUAGAUUUUGUAACCCUAAAUCAACUUUCCAUUUAUUUUCCUAUCUUGGAGGUAAAGUUGACCAAAAGAUGGGCAUCCUCACCUGGUGGAAUGUGCUCACAACAUUAGGUUUGCAAAUUACACUGUCCAAGGUCCUUAUUCCUCACUGGGGAAUUGGACCUAGUGUGAUACACACAUUACCACCCAGUCUCUAGCAACUGGUCACCAAUCUGGUAGGGUAAUGGGCCUUGAUAGGUAGGGUUUUGUUCAUGAAAAUUCAUUCAAAGUUUUGGUAGUUGGAACACUUGAUAUUUAAACAGGACUUAGGAAUUCUGAGCAGAAUAUUAGAGACUGCAUCUUUUUUUGCAACGAGAUGAGGAAAUCCUUUUUCUCAGGAGGGAUGGCAAAGGCAUAUGCUGUUUCCAGAGUCCUGUAGUACAAACAUUUGUUUUCAUUGUAAUGUGUCAAACUUAGGGAAAAGGGACUAGCAUAUUAGGAAAUGGGACUAGUUCAUAUUAGCAAGCAUGGUGCUUUGGUUUUAUUUUUAAUUUUGUUAAACCGCAUGUAGAUAAUGACUUUGUGAAGGGCUUUGUUGUGUGCAAAAAUUAAGAUAUUGGCCGACAGUUAAAUGCAUCAUGUUUGUGAUUUGUUGGGUAUAGUAUAGUACUAAUGAUUUUUAAGUGCUUUUAUAAAAAUUUCAUUUUAAAACAUUUUGUUUCUUAAAGUCAGUAUACAUUAUAGAACUAAUGUAAGUACAAAGAACAGUAUUUAUAUUUAUUUAUGUAAGACAUUAUUGUGCCAGGACAUACCAGCAAAACACCUUCAUGAAUAAGUGAGACAGAUAAUAUCUCCCAAGAAUGACAUAAUACAGUUAUUUCUAAAAUGUUUACUUUUAGUGAUCCUCACCUCCCCAGUUCCUUGUCUCCCUUUCCCUCAUCUUGACAUUGAUAACCUCAGGAUCCAUCAACUGUCCCCUUCCUCAGCCCCUCUUUGUCUCUACCUUGUUCCCUAUCACCCUAGCCUGUUGAUUAAUGUUCUCCUUUUAUUUCUGUUUCUCUUUCUUCACCAGUAUACUCUUCCCCAGCACUUAAUCCCCGAAUUGUCUCAUAGACCUACAUCUUCACGAUUGGUUGCUGAAAUCUUAGGGCAGAACGGAGACGCUAGUAAAGUUCCGAUGGAGAGUCGUCCUGGCAGAGUCCUAGCUGAAAAUGACUUUUCAAAGACUCCUCAAAAAGUAAAGGAAAAUCACCUUCAAAACCACAAAGUAACUGUCAAGUAUAACCCAAGUCCUCUGUCUUUACAGAGCGUUUCUUCUGACCCAUCCUUCAAAGAAUGAAAAUGCAGAAAAUACAAGAGUUGGCUGUGCUCUGCCUGCUGGAGAGAACUUGCUUUCUCUAUGAGUUUUCAUAUUGUAUCCCUAUUUCAGUUGAGAGUAUCAGAGCCUACAAGAUGGGUCAUGUUUGUCUUUGUUAUUCAAUUGUCCCCUUUCCCCAAUUUUAGAGUUUUUCUUUGAUUCUAAAUAUUGAAUUGUUUAUGGCUGUAUAAUGAAGUAACAAGCGUCUUGGUCUGUGUGUUUUAAGUAGUAAUUGUGCAAAUUCUUCCUGUUUUCUGGGUGCUUCCUUUGAAUAUUGUGCAAAUUGAGUCAGAGGCAGUGGGAGGGGCAGUGACUAAGAAAAGACUAGGGAAGAAGGAAGCCCAGGGGAAGGGUAGCCAAGGGAGGAUGCCAAGCAGGCAUCUGCCCUGUCUCAGAUGUUUAAUUCAGAAGUUGGAUUUUACUCGGGCUUGGAAGGUGACAGCUGUCUCUCCUAGCUUAAACAUAAGUAAAGAAAGCUGGAGUGCCACCCCCUGUUCCUCAGAAAAGGAAAUAUCCAGCUUGCCUCUCCUUGAUAACAGCUUGAAAAUGGCCUUCUGGAGACAAGCUCUGGCAGGUUUAAAACAGGAACUGUUUGGAAUCUAGUUGCAACUACUUCUCCUGGCUGUGUGGUGGCUGCUUGUGGACAGAAGCAGUGAUUUUUCAGUUUAGAUCUUGGUUGAAUUUAAGGCUUAUUUAAUUAUUUUCAGCAUAUGCCUACAAAAGUCUGCCUUGUAACUGUUGUGUAAAAUAAACCUAUGGUUUCAUUUUUAUCCUAAAAACAAGUUGUGCCUUAACAACAGGGCAUUGUAUGUUAAUAAGGGAAAACAAAAUUCUUUUUAAUAGAUGGGGAAAACAGGAACUUUUGCCAUUAAAAUUCAAGUUCUUUUUAUGUUUUUAAUGUUAGAGUUGGGGAAAAUUCAUUAAAGUUAAAUAAAAUUAAUAUAAAAUUAUUUUUGCAUAUACAACUAAAGUGCAUUUUUAUAAGAACUGGCAUCUUGAUGUAUAUAGGUCUGAAAUGAUACUUCAUCCUUUGAUUUUUAAUUUGAAUUAAUAAGACCAUGAUAGAUAUUUUUUUUUAAUUUUACCCUUAAACUAUUUCAGUGUGCUAUUAUAUCUGUUCUAGUACUCUGAGUCACUUUGGUUCUAACAACUAUUUAUGGUAUCAUGUCAAGAAUUUCUUAAUGUUAAAAAAUACUGUAUGUCUGUGACAUAAACCAGAAUGGUUCGUAGAUCGGGGAGGGUUCGGAUUAGCAUUUAGUAAGAGGGCAAGAAGAACUGAACUUUGUACUUCAAAAGGAGGUUUUGGUUUUAUGAGGUGCUGGUCAUAAUAAGUUGUUUAUUUUUAUUUCGUCAAAGCCUGGCAGGUGUUUGCAUUCCAAUUUACCAUUGAUAAAGGCUUACAGGGAAGCUUCUUUUUUAAAAAUUAUUUUUUAAAAUGAGUGAUGAAUUAAUUCUGUGGGAAAAUGAGAUUUAUAAAUAUUAGUUUUCCUUUAAGAUAAAAUAAUAUAACCCAAACUUUCAGAAGUUAAGGAUGAUGAAUAAUAUUACAACUUGUUGUGUAUUGUGUUUGUAAGGGUUCCCUAAAGUAUUAAAAUUCAGGUAAUUUGUGUAAAUUGCAAAAGCAGAAACUGUGAUGUUUGAUUAGUAGUAUGUUGCAUUAGAAUUCUUUUUGAGAUGUAUGUUAUACAUAUAGUAAACUAUUAUUCAGACUUGUUCAUCCUGUAUUUUUUUAAAAUAGGAGAUACAGCACCCCAAGUCAUCUUUAGAUCAGUCUACAAAGAGUUCAUCUGUCUCCCCAAAUUAUCUCUUCUAAGCCCUCUUCGUCAUCUAUGUUCAAUACUACCCCAUGGCCAAAUAGCUCUAGAAAAUGUGGUUGCCUCCGAUGACAUGAUCAUCCCAAACCCUGCCCCUGGAUAUACUUUGCCAAACUGAACUUUGAGUUUCCUGAAUAAAUUGGUCGUGUCUGAAA
Long non-coding RNA from Lagenorhynchus albirostris (white-beaked dolphin), 3440 nucleotides. RefSeq lists it as uncharacterized. The transcript is spliced from 2 exons. The record is from RefSeq and is a predicted model, not a curated record. NCBI's taxonomy places the organism in Eukaryota, Metazoa, Chordata, Mammalia, Artiodactyla, Delphinidae.